UACGGAGGAUGCUAGCGUUAUCCGGAUUUAUUGGGUUUAAAGGGUGCGUAGGCGGACUGUCAAGUCAGCGGUAAAAUUGAGAGGCUCAACCUCUUCCCGCCGUUGAAACUGGUGGUCUUGAGUGGAUGAGAAGUACGCGGAAUGCGUGGUGUAGCGGUGAAAUGCAUAGAUAUCACGCAGAACUCCGAUUGCGAAGGCAGCGUACCGGCAUCCAACUGACGCUGAGGCACGAAAGCGUGGGGAUCAAACAGG
Molecule: ribosomal RNA, 252 nt
Filed under: uncultured bacterium
Lineage: Bacteria
Description: partial 16S ribosomal RNA
Rfam family: Bacterial small subunit ribosomal RNA
Source: RNAcentral